AGAGUUUGAUCAUGGCUCAGGGUGGACGCUGGCGGCGUGCCUAACACAUGCAAGUCGAGCGACGAACUCGGGAAAUUUUAUUUUCGGAUAGAAUUUCCCGGGGGAAAGUGGCGGACGGGUGAGUAACACUUAAGUAACCUCCCCCUUGGACCGGAAUAAUCCGCUGAAAGGCGGACUAAUACCGGAUAAUCUUUUUUAGUGGAUUCACUUUAAAAGCAAAGGUCUGUUGCAAAACAGGCUGUCGAGGGAUGGGCUUGAGUCCUAUCAGCUAGUUGGUAGGGUAACGGCCUACCAAGGCGAAGACGGGUAGCUGGUCUUAGAGGACGACCAGCCACACGGGGAUUGAGACACGGCCCCGACUCCUACGGGAGGCAGCAGUGAGGAAUAUUGGACAAUGCCCGCAAGGGUGAUCCAGCGACGCCGCGUGAGUGAUGAAGGCCUUCGGGUCUUAAAACUCUGUCAAACGGGGAGAAUCCGCUUAGGCGGAAGACGGUACCGUUAAAGGAAGCCCCGGCUAAUUCCGUGCCAGCAGCCGCGGUAAUACGGGAGGGGCAAGCGUUACCCGGAUUUAUUGGGUGUAAAGGGUCCGCAGGCGGUUAAGCGUGUCAGUUUUGAAAUACUCUGGCUCAACCAGAGAAUUGGAACUGAAACUGUUUAACUUUGAGUUCAGAGGGGGGAAACGGAACUGCCAGUGUAGCGGUGGAAUGCGUAGAUAUUGGCAGGAACACCAGUAGCGAAGGCGGUUUCCUACUCUGAAACUGACGCUCAGGGACGAAAGCGUGGGGAGCGAUCGGGAUUAGAUACCCUAGUAGUCC
Molecule: ribosomal RNA, 815 nt
Filed under: uncultured bacterium
Lineage: Bacteria
Description: bacterial SSU rRNA
Rfam family: Bacterial small subunit ribosomal RNA
Source: RNAcentral